RNAcentral lists this small nuclear RNA (114 nucleotides) under Meriones unguiculatus (Mongolian gerbil). The record is from RNAcentral. Lineage: Eukaryota; Metazoa; Chordata; Mammalia; Rodentia; Muridae.
GUGUCAAUUCAGAAGCACAGUUACUAAAAUUGGAAUAAUGCAGAAAGAUUCCAAUUUUCAGCAUGGCCUCUCCACAAGGAUGAUAUGCAAAUUCAUAAAAUGGUCAAUUUUUUU